CAGCAGCCGCGGGAAUACAGAGGGUGCGAGCGUUAAUCGGAUUUACUGGGCGUAAAGCGUGCGUAGGCGGCUUCUUAAGUCGGAUGUGAAAUCCCUGAGCUUAACUUAGGAAUUGCAUUCGAUACUGGGAAGCUAGAGUAUGGGAGAGGAUGGUAGAAUUCCAGGUGUAGCGGUGAAAUGCGUAGAGAUCUGGAGGAAUACCGAUGGCGAAGGCAGCCAUCUGGCCUAAUACUGACGCUGAGGUGCGAAAGCGUGGGGAGCAAACAGGAUUAGAUACCCGAGUAGUCCCUGUCUCUUAUAC
RNAcentral lists this ribosomal RNA (301 nucleotides) under uncultured bacterium. RNAcentral describes it as "partial 16S ribosomal RNA". It matches the Rfam family "Bacterial small subunit ribosomal RNA", at positions 509 to 807 of the family's 1533-position model. The record is from RNAcentral.